This is a long non-coding RNA of Nicotiana tabacum (common tobacco), 1396 nucleotides long. RefSeq lists it as uncharacterized. The record is from RefSeq and is a predicted model, not a curated record. Lineage: Eukaryota; Viridiplantae; Streptophyta; Magnoliopsida; Solanales; Solanaceae.
UGUAACUGUUCAUAAAAGCGCUUAGCAUCAUCAUUUGGUUCAGACUAAGCCCCCGGGUGCAUCACAAAAGCAUCUCUAACCAUUUUAUUGGAUCGAUAGUUUUUAACAUUAUUCUCCGCUAAUGGACUACCCUCACUACCAAAUUAUUUUUGAAAAUCGACAUCACACACUAGCAACAUCCUCUCCAUGAAUAGUCCACACGUAAUAAUUUUUCAUAAAUCCUUUUUUAUAAAGAUGAAUUUUAACAACAUCUGGUUGUAAUAACUUUUCACCCUUGCAUUUGACACAAGGACACCUAAUCAUCUCUUCACUGAAAAAUUCAUGAAUUGUUUUCGCUUUAGCCAUAAAUUCAGUAACUCCUAUAAAUUCCUUCCUCAACCCACUACGAUUAGGAUAAGUCCGAUUAUACAUCCAUCUACGAUAUGCAAGCUCCAUCUACACAAAUAAAUCCAAGAUAUUUAAAACAAUAUAUAUUACUUAGUAUUAUGCCAAACAAUUUACUUAUAAAAAAAAAUUGGUUCUUUCAACGACAAAAAUAUAUUUUGUGGCCAUCCUAUAAUAUUCAAGACUUCAAGAACCAUUAUGUGCUUUAUAUCAACAGUAUGUGCUCUAUGCAAAUGAACUAUCAAAAACCUUGAAAGAGUAUGUCAUAUUUACUUUGCUUUAACAACCAACAGCAACAAGUGACAUAGAUCAUGACUUAAGAUAUAUAUUUGUGGAGAAAAAUUAUUAACACCCAUCAAAGAGUCAUUGUUUUCCUAUUUAGUUGUAUAUGGUUGGAAGAAUUCUUUUCCUGUGGGAGCUAGCCAGACCUAUUUAAAUCAAGUUUAAAUCAACAACUCUACCAUCCAAGUUGCAAGAUUAUUUAAUGCAUCGCUCUUCCAAUUCAAAUCAAAACCAACUCACAAACAGAUUGUAUAGUCCAAACAGCUUUUCAAAUCAAAUUUAUUCUCUAAGCCAUAUCAUAUUAUUACUUGGUUACUGAUUUAGUGCUAUUCUCAGGUGAAAUUAUGGAUCGAAAAGAAAACUCAACAAUCAAACCAAUUGAAGCGGAUUAUAGACAGAGAACAAACAAGUAGCAUUCAUGUCAUCAAAAAUCAAUCGCAAGAUACACAGAGGAACUUUAAAGAGAGUAAGAUUUCAGCCGUUUGCCUCUGUCAGCCUUUUGCCUCCUUCAGUCGUUUGCCUCUGUCAGCGGCAAAGAUGGAGUGGAAGAGAAAUUGAAGAACAAUCUGCCUCACAGGUGAAAUGGAAGAGAAAUCAAAGAAGAAAAAAGAUAUCGAAAGAGAGAGGAGGGAAAUUGGGGAAAUAGGGCGCCCAGAAAUUGAAAUAGGUUUUUGGCAUGAAAUAUUAAAUUUAAAUUUUUGACUACCGUGGUCGCAAACCCACAUAAAUA